Molecule: long non-coding RNA, 365 nt
Organism: Acanthopagrus latus (yellowfin seabream)
Lineage: Eukaryota; Metazoa; Chordata; Actinopteri; Spariformes; Sparidae
Exons: 2
Source: RefSeq, a predicted model, not a curated record
CUGACCAUUACCAGAAGCAUCCCAGUCUCUUCUCACAAAAGCUUUCCUCUUCUCCUCUAAGAACUGACUGGGGAUGAGACCGGUGGCUCCACCAACAACUUUGCGUGCCUAUGUGGAAAUCAGAGUAGUUGAGAGUCAAUUAUGUGGUGCAGCUCUGCUCCAAGCAACCCUGUCCUUCAACCACCACAGAGCAAAAUGUGCCUGCUCACCUGCCACCAGUUGGGGUCCUCCUUGUUGACUACAUGGAGGAUGUCUCCCUUGAAAAAGGCCAGGCCUGCCUCUUUACAGGGGAUCAAGUUGUCUGUGGCUGGAUUAUAGUUGAAGUGUGGCUUCAGAUAGACCUAAAAUUUAGAAUGUGAACAAGA